Molecule: ribosomal RNA, 515 nt
Filed under: uncultured bacterium
Lineage: Bacteria
Description: bacterial SSU rRNA
Rfam family: Bacterial small subunit ribosomal RNA
Source: RNAcentral
AACGAACGCUGGCGGCAUGCCUAACACAUGCAAGUCGAACGAGACCUUCGGGUCUAGUGGCGCACGGGUGCGUAACGCGUGGGAAUCUGCCCUCUGGUACGGAAUAACUCAGGGAAACUUGAGCUAAUACCGUAUAAUGACUUCGGUCCAAAGAUUUAUCGCCUGAGGAUGAGCCCGCGUCGGAUUAGCUAGUUGGUAGGGUAAAGGCCUACCAAGGUGACGAUCCGUAGCUGGUCUGAGAGGAUGAUCAGCCACACUGGGACUGAGACACGGCCCAGACUCCUACGGGAGGCAGCAGUGGGGAAUAUUGGACAAUGGGGGAAACCCUGAUCCAGCAAUGCCGCGUGAGUGAUGAAGGCCUUAGGGUUGUAAAGCUCUUUUACCCGGGAAGAUAAUGACAGUACCGGGAGAAUAAGCCCCGGCUAACUCCGUGCCAGCAGCCGCGGUAAUACGGAGGGGGCUAGCGUUGUUCGGAAUUACUGGGCGUAAAGCGCACGUAGGCGGCUUUGUAAGUU